This 87-nucleotide transfer RNA is filed under the name Erwinia phage vB_EamM_Kwan. It matches the Rfam family "tRNA". From Rfam's summary of the family: Transfer RNA (tRNA) molecules are approximately 80 nucleotides in length. Their secondary structure includes four short double-helical elements and three loops (D, anti-codon, and T loops). RNAcentral also lists the same sequence under 1 other name. The record is from Rfam by way of RNAcentral. Lineage: Duplodnaviria; Heunggongvirae; Uroviricota; Caudoviricetes; Chimalliviridae.
GGAGAAUUGGAUGAGUGGCUUAAGUCGCUCCCCUGCUAAGGGAGUGUAUCCGAAAGGGUACCGUUGGUUCGAAUCCAACAUUCUCCG